UUUCAUUGAUGAUCUCUCAAUUGUGUGGCACUGUGUCUGGGUCAUAGAAACCCUUUGAUGAACCUAAGAGA
RNAcentral lists this small nucleolar RNA (71 nucleotides) under Canis lupus familiaris (dog). RNAcentral's name for it is "Small nucleolar RNA SNORD66 (multiple genes)". It matches the Rfam family "Small nucleolar RNA SNORD66". From Rfam's summary of the family: snoRNA HBII-142 is part of the C/D family of snoRNAs. RNAcentral also lists the same sequence under 1 other name. Lineage: Eukaryota; Metazoa; Chordata; Mammalia; Carnivora; Canidae. The record is from Rfam by way of RNAcentral.